Molecule: ribosomal RNA, 346 nt
Filed under: uncultured bacterium
Lineage: Bacteria
Description: partial 16S ribosomal RNA
Rfam family: Bacterial small subunit ribosomal RNA
Source: RNAcentral
CCUACGGGUUGCAGCAGUGAGGAAUAUUGGUCAAUGGACGAGAGUCUGAACCAGCCAAGUAGCGUGAAGGAUGACUGCCCUAUGGGUUGUAAACUUCUUUUAUAGGGGAAUAAAAUGUGCCACGUGUGGGAUUUUGUAUGUACCAUAUGAAUAAGGAUCGGCUAACUCCGGGCCAGCAGCCGCGGUAAUACGGAGGAUCCGAGCGUUAUCCGGAUUUAUUGGGUUUAAAGGGAGCGUAGGGGGAGUGUUCAGUCAGUUGUUAAAGUUUGCGGCUACACCGUAAAAUGGCAGUUGCAACUGCCAGUCUUGAGUACAGUAGAGGUGGGCGGAAUUCGUGUUGUAGCGG